This is a long non-coding RNA of Cornus florida, 2769 nucleotides long. RefSeq lists it as uncharacterized. Lineage: Eukaryota; Viridiplantae; Streptophyta; Magnoliopsida; Cornales; Cornaceae. The record is from RefSeq and is a predicted model, not a curated record. The transcript has 2 exons.
UCACUUUACUAUUUGCUUAAUUUACCAUUUGUCCCAUUCGACAUUACAAACCCUAGGUUUCUCUCUUCAGCCUCCCCAAUCGCCUCCAUCUCUAUUCUCGUUCUCAUCUCUGAAGUUUCCCUCUCUCUUUCUCUGUAACUGCAACUACAAAAUCUACUUUCCUUGGCCCCCAGAUAACUAAAACCAAACACAUCACAAUGCCCAUCUUUACCACUUUUGCCUCCUCCUCCUCGCCUCUGCUCCUCAUCGUCGCCUCUCGCUCAUCCCUUUCUCUCUCUAAACCCUCAUUCUCUCUCUCUAGAUUUCUCAUCAAACCCACAUCUUUCCCCCAUACCUCCAGACCUUUCUCUCUCUACUUGCACCCAAAAAUGAACUGGUUGGGAAAGCUAGGGUUCAGUACUCGAAAUCCCGGUGUGACCACCGUGGACCAGUCAUCAUCUUCCUCGAUUGCGUAGGGUUCGGACGACGACGUCACGGCACCGGGUCAAGAGUUCACCCAGAGAGUGCCCGAAGUGUCCAAGACGUAGGUUGGGUACAGUCAGGGCUAUAUUCACAAUCCAAGCUACAACGACGUGUGUUCAGGGACGAUGAACCACUCCAAAGUCGUCCGGGUUCAGUACGAUCCCAAGGAGUGCGGUUACGAGUCUUUGCUCGACGCGUUUUGGGCCAGCCAUGACCCUACUACGCCUAAUCGUCAGGUGAGUCUAUGGAAUUAUUGGGCUUUUCAUGGUUGAGUUUAUGGGUAGUCAUUUUAUGUGCAUUUUUUUGCUGAAUUUUGACGGGUUUUGGUGUCAAUUAUUUGACGAAUGUGUCUUUCUCUGGGUUAUGGGUUCCUAACUUUUAUAUUUAUCCAUUGCACUUUUAACUAGAUGAUUGAAAUUUAAUUGUAUUUUAUUGAUAAUUAUUGGGUUUAUUAGGGUUUGGGACUUUGAGUUGUCAUUUUGGGCUUUUGUUACUGAAUUUUGAUGGAAUUUUGUUGGAUUUGUCUAAGGAUGAAUCAGUUUUUGCCUAUGCUUCUUUAUUCUCCUAAAGGUAGGAAGCUUAUACAUAUGUGGGUGAUAGGGGUUACUUAAUUAUUUUGUUGAUCUAUUGAUUUUUUAGCUAGACGAUUGAAAUUCGGUUGCAUCUUUUUUAUUAUUAUUGGUUUGAAAAAAAUUAUAUUUUAAUGUAUUUUGGUUAAUUUUUAUCUUUGAAAUGAAGCAAUUUUGUAGUUAACUUAUAUACACGGAUUUCUCUAUACUUUCAAACCUCCCAUUUGGUUCUUAAAUUUGGACUUUUAAGGUCUGUUAAUUGGAUAUAGGUAUGAUGCUUUGUAACAUUCAUCAAUUUUUUUUUAUUCUUUCAUUUUGUGGCUUCUUAUGUUGGCAUACCAAUCGUGCAAUUCUGUUUCUUUGAGGACUGGGUUUUCUGAUGUUGGCCGGUGGGGUUGAUUGUGGGAUUUAUUUUCCUUUUCUAAUGUAAACCAAUCUUUGAUUAUGCUUUUCACUUAUUUAUCAUUUGCCCUUGCAAAUCUUGCCAAUUGUUACCUCCUAGUGAAUUAUGUUAAGUUCAACCUUUUGGGAUCUUGGAUUAUUCUGUAUAAGAGGAACUUGUACGGAUCAGGUAGUAGGAGUAGUUGUUCCCUUCUAGGACCUACGAAAUGUUGUGAUUCUAUAUAUAUAUAUAUAUGUACACACUCAUAAAACUUUAUGGAUUCAACUGCUCAAUUAAUUUAAAAUAGUAGUUUUUUUCUGUUUUUGUGUGGCAUGGAAUAUUUCAAUCAUGAUGGGAACUUUUAAUCGUGAGCAACUUCUUGGCUAAAAAAGAAGUGUCAUACAGGCAUGCUUUUGAGGAAAUGUUACUCUCUUAUAAUGGUACUUAACCCAAAAAUAAGUUAAUUCAGCCAAAUAAGAGCUUAAAAGAAGCAAUCUCAAGCUGAAUGGAAGAAAGGAGCAAAGUGGAAACAAAAUGAAAUAAAGUGUGGAAAUCAGCAAGUUUGAUCGAUCUCAACAUUCCUUCGAUCGAUCAGAGAAACAUUGAUCUGGGCACUUCAAGAUGGAUCCAAGCAAUUGGCCUUAUUCAAAAGAUCUCAGCAUGUUCAAUCGAUCUAAACAUUCUUCGAUCGAUCAAAAAUAUUCGAUUUUAUCCACACCUUCCACCCUACCUACCACUCUUGUGUCUUUCCUAAAAUAUUCCAAAAUAUCUUAGAGAUUUGUCUUUAUUCAAAAAGGUGCCGCCAAGGAUGAUCGAUCUCUGCAGCAUUCGAUGGAUCUCACCAAUGUUCGAUCGAUCUCAACAUAGUUCGAUCAAUCGAACCUCCUCCAGUUCGAAUUAAAUCAAAUUCCAGCUCAUUAAAAGUCGUCUCAUGGUGCAAUCAUUGCAAGGACCAUAGUGCACGAGUCCAGACCAUUGGGUGUGACACUUGAGCCUCUUAUAUAAGGAUUUUGAACUAUUUUUACAUAGAGUUUGGAAGAUCUUCAAUACACAUAUACUUAAGAGAUGUACUUAGAAACAUUCUUGGAGAGAAAGAAAGGAGAGGAGGAGAGGCUAGAGACACAUUUUUGGGAGUUCUUUCAUUCUUCUAGGGUUUCCAUCAAGAAAAAGGUCAUUCUUACCAUGGAGAUAGCCCUUGAGGGUUGGAUGACUACUUCAAUGAGUGGUUAAACAUCUUCUUGGGGCUAGAGUUAGCCCUAAGCAUGUCUUAUAGACUCUAAUGCUUUGUAUUUUGAGAGGAUUUGUGUUGUAAUCUUGUUUUGAAACUUAUUUUAUAUAUGAAUCUUGUUUAUUCAA